Molecule: ribosomal RNA, 562 nt
Filed under: Escherichia coli
Lineage: Bacteria; Pseudomonadati; Pseudomonadota; Gammaproteobacteria; Enterobacterales; Enterobacteriaceae
Description: partial 23S ribosomal RNA
Rfam family: Bacterial large subunit ribosomal RNA
Source: RNAcentral
GAGUCUUAACCGGGCGUUAAGUUGCAGGGUAUAGACCCGAAACCCGGUGAUCUAGCCAUGGGCAGGUUGAAGGUUGGGUAACACUAACUGGAGGACCGAACCGACUAAUGUUGAAAAAUUAGCGGAUGACUUGUGGCUGGGGGUGAAAGGCCAAUCAAACCGGGAGAUAGCUGGUUCUCCCCGAAAGCUAUUUAGGUAGCGCCUCGUGAAUUCAUCUCCGGGGGUAGAGCACUGUUUCGGCAAGGGGGUCAUCCCGACUUACCAACCCGAUGCAAACUGCGAAUACCGGAGAAUGUUAUCACGGGAGACACACGGCGGGUGCUAACGUCCGUCGUGAAGAGGGAAACAACCCAGACCGCCAGCUAAGGUCCCAAAGUCAUGGUUAAGUGGGAAACGAUGUGGGAAGGCCCAGACAGCCAGGAUGUUGGCUUAGAAGCAGCCAUCAUUUAAAGAAAGCGUAAUAGCUCACUGGUCGAGUCGGCCUGCGCGGAAGAUGUAACGGGGCUAAACCAUGCACCGAAGCUGCGGCAGCGACACUGUGUGUUGUUGGGUAGGGGAGCGU